UGUGUCAUUAUUUUUAUUCUUUUUGUGUUUCCUCAGGCUGGUUUCCGCUCCAAACUCUCAGAGAAUGUGUUUGAUCUGCUGGAUCUGUCACCUGCAGUGGUAACACACACUCACUCACACACACACACACAGAGAGAGACUAAAUGAGUCUUUAAACCUGUGGAGAUGAGAAUAUAAAAAUGUGUGUGUGUGUGUGUGUGCGUCUCUUAGGACAGGAAGGAAGCCGAGGGCGAGGCAGAUGUGGACAGCUGUGUGGAUGUCUCUGACUCUGCAGACAGGCAUGUGUUGCGUGAUGAAGAAGAGAAGAAGAGACAAGAAGAGAGGGAGGAAGAGGAGAAGAGAAAGCGUGAGGAAGAGGAGAAGAGACGAGUAGAGAGGGAGGAAGAGGAGAAGAAGAGACGAGUGAGGGAGGAAGAGGAGAAGAGAAAGCGUGAGGAAGAGGAGAAGAGACGAGUGGAGGGGGAGGAAGAGGAGAAGAAGAGACGAGUAGAGAGGGAGGAAGAGGCGAAGAAGAGACGAGUAGAGAGGGAGGAAGAGAAGAGAAAGCGUGAUGAAGAGGAGAAGAGACGAGUAGAGGGGGAGGAAGAGGAGAAGAAGGGACGAGUAGAGAGGGAGGAAGAGGAGAAGAGAAAGCGUGAGGAAGAGGAGAGGAAGAGACUGGAGGACUCAGAGAGACAGAUGGAGGAGGAGAGGAGCAGACUGAGGGAGGAGACACAGGGGAGACUGCAGCUGCUCAGAGAGGCUCUGAUGGAGGACGAGGAGCGCCGAAUGAAGGAGGAGAGUGCUGAGUUGCUCCGGGUCCUGAAGGAGCAGAUGCUCAAACAGAGACGAGACGAGGAGGAGCGACUGAACAACGACAUGCACACACAACUACAACAGCUCAGGUACACACACACACACACACACACACAGUCUAUCACCAUCGGUGCAUUUACACACACACACACACACACACACACACUGUAUCACCAUCGGUGCAUUUUCACACACACACACACACACACACGCACUGUAUUACCAUUGGUGCAUUCUCUCACACACACACACACACACACACACACACACUGUAUUACCAUUGGUGCAUUCACACACACACACACACACACUGUAUCACCAUCGGUGCAUUCACACACACACACACACACACUGUAUCACCAUCGGUGCAUUCACACACACACACACACACACUGUAUCACCAUCGGUGCAUUCACACACACACACACACACACUGUAUCACCAUCGGUGCAUUCACACACACACACACACACACUGUAUCACCAUCGGUGCAUUCACACACACACACACACACACUGUAUCACCAUCGGUGCAUUCACACACACACACACACACACUGUAUCACCAUCGGUGCAUUCACACACACACACACACUCGUCCCUUGUGUGUGUUCAGGCUUGAGAAUGAGGUGAAGCUGCAGGAGCUGUGCUCAGAACUGGAGGCGGAGCGAGAGAGGGUGGAGACUCUGAGGAGGCGGGACCUUGAGCACCUGAGGGAGGAGUCAGAGGAGGAGCUCCGGGCUGAGAGGAGGUGGCUACAAGAGAAGAAGGAGGAGCAGCUGACCUCCAUCAGACUACAGGUGUGUGUAUGAGAGUGUGUGUGUGUGUGUGUGUGUGUGAGAGUGCACCAAUGGUAAUACAGUGUGUGUGUGUGUGUGUGUGAGAAUCCACCAAUGGUAAUACAGUGUGUGUGUGUGUG
This 1713-nucleotide long non-coding RNA is filed under the name Sinocyclocheilus grahami. RNAcentral describes it as "lncRNA (ENSSGRG00000017941.1)". Lineage: Eukaryota; Metazoa; Chordata; Actinopteri; Cypriniformes; Cyprinidae. The record is from RNAcentral.